Long non-coding RNA from Thalassophryne amazonica, 136 nucleotides. RefSeq lists it as uncharacterized. The transcript has 3 exons. The record is from RefSeq and is a predicted model, not a curated record. Lineage: Eukaryota; Metazoa; Chordata; Actinopteri; Batrachoidiformes; Batrachoididae.
GAACUGAUUAAAAUUUUAAAUAUUUUCAAUGGGGAAAAUUUGUUUGAAAUACGAGCAGAUUGGCUUAUGAGCUUGGUUCCGGAACGAAUUAAACUUGUAUCUCGAGGUUCCACUGUAUGUGGGUGUGUGUGUGGAU